CCCUCAGGCUCUCCUUAAGCGGUGCCAGGGGCCACUUCACAGUAAACAUGCUUUAGAGCUUGUACAAAGGCUUUGAAGAACUCUCCUCCCAGGGGUUUAAACCAGCUUGCACCUCAGUCGGUACUCAACACGCUCAAGCAUGUCUGUGAAGGGAGCGCCGUUCUCUCGUGCAGAGUUUUAUUCCUGAGGCUAGUCAAGGUCAUGUCCAAGAGACCACCAAAAUCGAUUUGAAUAUCCUGUGGGAAAGCAAGAUGUGCAGUUCCAGCCACCUGGAUGAUAAAGGAAGAUCAACACUAACAUAACUAUCUGGACAGUCAAAGAAGAAAUAAUACUAACAUAAUCAGAUCACAGCAACUAUAAAGUGCCUUGGACAGAUUGUACUGAA
Molecule: long non-coding RNA, 385 nt
Organism: Columba livia (rock pigeon)
Lineage: Eukaryota; Metazoa; Chordata; Aves; Columbiformes; Columbidae
Exons: 2
Source: RefSeq, a predicted model, not a curated record